UACGUAGGGUGCAAGCGUUGUCCGGAUUUAUUGGGCGUAAAGAGCUCGUAGGCGGUUGGUCACGUCGGAUGUGAAAAUCCAAGGCUUAACCUUGGACCUGCAUUCGAUACGGGCUGACUAGAGUGUUGUAGGGGAGACUGGAACUCUUGGUGUAGCGGUGAAAUGCGCAGAUAUCAGGAAGAACACCGAUGGCGAAGGCAGGUCUCUGGGCAACUACUGACGCUGAGGAGCGAAAGCGUGGGGAGCAAACAGG
Molecule: ribosomal RNA, 253 nt
Filed under: uncultured bacterium
Lineage: Bacteria
Description: partial 16S ribosomal RNA
Rfam family: Bacterial small subunit ribosomal RNA
Source: RNAcentral